AACGAACGCUGGCGGCAGGCUUAACACAUGCAAGUCGAGCGCAUCCUUCGGGGUGAGCGGCGGACGGGUGAGUAACGCGUGGGAACGUGCCCUCUUCUACGGAAUAGCCUCGGGAAACUGAGAGUAAUGCCGUAUACGCCCGCAAGGGGAAAGAUUUAUCGGAGGAGGAUCGGCCCGCGUUGGAUUAGGUAGUUGGUGGGGUAACGGCCUACCAAGCCGACUAUCCAUAGCUGGUUUGAGAGGAUGAUCAGCCACACUGGGACUGAGACACGGCCCAGACUCCUACGGGAGGCAGCAGUGGGGAAUCUUGGACAAUGGGGGCAACCCUGAUCCAGCCAUGCCGCGUGAGCGAUGAAGGCCUUAGGGUUGUAAAGAUCUUUCAGCUGGGAAGAUAAUGACGGUACCAGCAGAAGAAGCCCCGGCUAACUCCGUG
Molecule: ribosomal RNA, 433 nt
Filed under: uncultured bacterium
Lineage: Bacteria
Description: partial 16S ribosomal RNA
Rfam family: Bacterial small subunit ribosomal RNA
Source: RNAcentral